Molecule: ribosomal RNA, 406 nt
Filed under: uncultured bacterium
Lineage: Bacteria
Description: partial 16S ribosomal RNA
Rfam family: Bacterial small subunit ribosomal RNA
Source: RNAcentral
GAUUAACGCUGGCGGCGUGCAUAACACAUGCAAGUCGAACGAAGUGGCGGAAGGGUGAGUAACGCGUGAGUAACCUGCCUUAGAGAAGGGGAUAGCCUUUGGAAACGCAGAAUAAUACCCUAUGCUCUAAGAUGGACUUGCGUCUGAUUAGUUAUUUGGUGGGGUAACGGCCCACCGAGACAGCUAUCAGUAGCCGGCUUGGGAGCGUGUACGGCCCCAUUGGGACUGGGACAAGGCCCAGACGCUACGGGAGGCAGCAGUGGGGAAUUUUGCACAAUGGGGGAAACCCGGAUGCAGCGACGCCGCGUGAUUUAGAAGGCCUUCGGGUUGUAAAAAUCUUUUCUAUGGGAAGCAGUACCAUAGGAAUAAGGACCGGCUAAUUACGUGCCAGCAGCCGCGGUAAUUC